Molecule: long non-coding RNA, 541 nt
Organism: Melanotaenia boesemani (Boeseman's rainbowfish)
Lineage: Eukaryota; Metazoa; Chordata; Actinopteri; Atheriniformes; Melanotaeniidae
Exons: 4
Source: RefSeq, a predicted model, not a curated record
GUUGUAUCUUGUGCAAACCAAAACCCCAGGAAAUAUUGGCGUUCAAGAACAGUCCGUCAAACCUCAGGAAACACAUUAAGAGAAAGCACGAGAGAUACCUGGAGAAGUACACCAAGCUAGCUAUUCAGAAAAGGAAGCAUGAGGAAGAUCCGAAUGACCAAGCAACACCCAAGCAGCUGAAACUGUGGGAUACACCUCGUGUAACACAGAAAGAAUUGACAAAGCAACUACAGAGAUGAAAGAGAAUCUCAAGGCGGCGAUGCAUGAUGUGGAGUUCAUAGGGACCACCACUGACUGCUGGACAGCAAACAGAAAGGGCUUCAUCGGUGUCACAGCCCACCGGAUACAUCCUACAAGUCUGCAGCGGUGCUCUGCUGCACUAGCAUGCAAGCAGCUGAAAGGACCACACAACUUCACUGCACUUGCAGAUGCUCUGACUAAGAUCCAUACAGAGUUCAACAUCAGAGACAAGAUUGUGCGUACAACGACAGAUAGUGGGUCCAGUUUUCUGAAAGCCUUCAGAGUGUACGGUGUCGAUGAU